UAGGGAAUAUUGGUAAUGUGCGAAAGCGCGAACCAGCAACGCCGCGUGCACGAUGAAGGCCUUCGGGUCGUAAAGUGCUUUUAGAGAGGAUGAGGAAGGACAGUACUUUCUGAAUAAGCCUCGGCUAACUACGUGCCAGCAGCCGCGGUAAAACGUAGGGUGCAAGCGUUAUCCGGAUUCACUGGGUUUAAAGGGUGCGUAGGUGGGCAGAUAAGUCAGUGGUGAAAUCUUCCGGCUUAACCGGGAAACUGCCGUUGAUACUAUUUGUCUUGAAUAUUGCGGAGGUAAGCGGAAUAUGUCAUGUAGCGGUGAAAUGCUUAGAUAUGACAUAGAACACCAAUUGCGAAGGCAGCUUACUACACAAUCAUUGACACUGAGGCACGAAAGCGUGGGUAGCGAACA
RNAcentral lists this ribosomal RNA (402 nucleotides) under uncultured bacterium. RNAcentral describes it as "bacterial SSU rRNA". It matches the Rfam family "Bacterial small subunit ribosomal RNA", at positions 355 to 774 of the family's 1533-position model. The record is from RNAcentral.